This 70-nucleotide transfer RNA is filed under the name Astrotoma agassizii. RNAcentral describes it as "tRNA-Val". Lineage: Eukaryota; Metazoa; Echinodermata; Ophiuroidea; Euryalida; Gorgonocephalidae. The record is from RNAcentral.
UAAAAAGUAGCUAUGGGAAAAGUUUUAUAUUUACAAUAUUAGGAUAUCUGUUUAACUCAGAUCUUUUUAA